Molecule: non-coding RNA, 167 nt
Filed under: Vibrio chagasii
Lineage: Bacteria; Pseudomonadati; Pseudomonadota; Gammaproteobacteria; Vibrionales; Vibrionaceae
Also listed under: 1 other name
Source: RNAcentral
GGCACUGUGAGGUGAAACUCGAAGGAAGCAAAUAGCAAAAUUUGGUUGUGACGAACAGAAAUCUGGUAGUAGGCAUAAUCAAUUUGCGUAACCUAGCAACAGAUAAAUUGUCCAAAGCCUCGAACAUAUGAAGUAGGGAAGGCAUGAACCAAGUUUAAGGGAACAGU